RNAcentral lists this long non-coding RNA (232 nucleotides) under Elaeis guineensis (African oil palm). RNAcentral's name for it is "long non-coding RNA (EGUI_LNC050820)". The record is from RNAcentral. Lineage: Eukaryota; Viridiplantae; Streptophyta; Magnoliopsida; Arecales; Arecaceae.
UUUUUUUUCUUUUUCUUUUUCUUUUUUUGUUCCCUGAAUUUUUUCUUGAUUGAAGCUUAUAGAUGUCUACGCACGUUAUGGUCACUAUGAUGGGCUGGCUUAAUUGCUACAUAAUGCAUGAUAUAUAGAUAGUUUCGAAUCAUGCGUAUAUCUUUCUAAUGGUUGAUGAUGAUUGCUUAAAUAAUAUUGUUGCAGAUAGAAGAAGCUUCAUACAUGCGUCCCUGUCACACCA